This 727-nucleotide ribosomal RNA is filed under the name Torula sp. RNAcentral describes it as "partial large subunit ribosomal RNA". It matches the Rfam family "Eukaryotic large subunit ribosomal RNA", at positions 180 to 924 of the family's 3401-position model. The record is from RNAcentral. Lineage: Eukaryota; Fungi; Ascomycota; Dothideomycetes; Pleosporales; Torulaceae.
UGUAAGUUCCUUGGAACAGGACGUCACAGAGGGUGAGAAUCCCGUACGUGGCCGCCGGCCUUCGCCUUGUAAAUCUCCUUCGAUGAGUUCGAGUUGUUUGGGAAUGCAGCUCUAAAUGGGAGGUAAAUUCCUUCUAAAGCUAAAUACCCGCCAGAGACCGAUAGCGCACAAGUAGAGUGAUCGAAAGAUGAAAAGCACUUUGGAAAGAGAGUGAAAAAGCACGUGAAAUUGUUGAAAGGGAAGCGCUUGCGGCUAGACGUGCCCGCGGUUGAUCAUCCAGGCUCCGGCCUGGUGCACUCCUCCGCGGGCAGGCCAGCAUCAGUUCGGGCGGUCGGAUAAAGGCCUCUGUCACGUGCCACCCCUCGGGGUGGCCUUAUAGGGGAGGCGCAACACGGCCAGCCCGGACUGAGGUUCCGCGCAUCUGUUAGGAUGCUGGCGUAAUAGCAGCAAGCGGCCCGUCUUGAAACACGCACCAAGGAGUCUAUCAUCUAUGUGAGUGUUUGGGUGUCAAGCCCGAGCGUGCAAUGAAAGUGAACGGAGGUGGGAGCCCUCCGGGUGCAUCAUCGACCGAUCCUGAUGUUUUCGGAUGGAUUUGAGUAAGAGCAUAGCUGUUGGGACCCGAAAGAUGGUGAACUAUGCCUGAAUAGGGUGAAGCCAGAGGAAACUCUGGUGGAGGCUCGCAGCGGUUCUGACGUGCAAAUCGAUCGUCAAAUAUGGGCAUAGGGGC